AAAACGACUCUCGGCAACGGAUAUCUCGGCUCUCGCAUCGAUGAAGAACGUAGCGAAAUGCGAUACUUGGUGUGAAUGGCAAGAAUCCCGUGAACCAUCGAGUCUUUGAACGCAAGUUGCGCCCCAAGCCUUCUGGCCGAGGGCACGUCUGCCUGGG
Molecule: ribosomal RNA, 157 nt
Filed under: Odontarrhena oxycarpa
Lineage: Eukaryota; Viridiplantae; Streptophyta; Magnoliopsida; Brassicales; Brassicaceae
Description: 5.8S ribosomal RNA
Rfam family: 5.8S ribosomal RNA
About the family: 5.8S ribosomal RNA (5.8S rRNA) is a component of the large subunit of the eukaryotic ribosome. It is transcribed by RNA polymerase I as part of the 45S precursor that also contains 18S and 28S rRNA.
Source: RNAcentral